RNAcentral lists this ribosomal RNA (465 nucleotides) under uncultured bacterium. RNAcentral describes it as "bacterial SSU rRNA". It matches the Rfam family "Bacterial small subunit ribosomal RNA", at positions 338 to 795 of the family's 1533-position model. The record is from RNAcentral.
CCUACGGGUUGCACCAGUGGGGAAUAUUGCACAAUGGGCGCAAGCCUGAUGCAGCCAUGCCGCGUGUAUGAAGAAGGCCUUCGGGUUGUAAAGUACUUUCAGCGGGGAAGAAGGCGAUAAGGUUAAUAACCUUGUCGAUUGACGUCACCCGCAGAAGAAGCACCGGCUAACUCCGUGCAAGCAGCCGCGGUAAUACGGAGGGUGCAAGCGUUAAUCGGAAUUACUGGGCGUAAAGCGCACGCAGGCGGUCUGUCAAGUCGGAUGUGAAAUCCCCGGGCUCAACCUGGGAACUGCAUUCGAAACUGGCAGGCUAGAGUCUUGUAGAGGGGGGUAGAAUUCCAGGUGUAGCGGUGAAAUGCGUAGAGAUCUGGAGGAAUACCGGUGGCGAAGGCGGCCCCCUGGACAAAGACUGACGCUCAGGUGCGAUAGCGUGGGGAGCAAACAGGAUUAGAUACCCCAGUAGUC